GCGAAAACAUGACGAGGGAGCGAUGCUGGAAGCUUUAUAGUGGUCGGUUUGCGCGCUUGGCAAGGAAAUCCCGAGAACUCGGGCCUCGGUUCGAUCCGGCCGAGUCCGUCUCGCCCACGACGCUGGGAAGAAGAUGGGAGGGGGCGAGACACUGCCGGGUGGGGUCAGUUGUCAGCGACUGAGAGAGAAAGGGGGAGGCGCUGUGCUGCGGGGCCGGCUCGUCAGCGAGCCAAGGCAGAGGGGCGCGCCCGCCAGGCCACGCGCGGGCUGGGCCGAGGAAAGGGAGUGGGCCGGGGCGCGGGGGAGGGGAGCUGGGCCUCGGCCUGGAAGGCUUCCUUUCUUUUUUUUCCUAUUUCCAAUUUUUUUUUCUGUUUUGUUUUAUUCUUUUUUUUUAAAGCCUUUUUCAAAAAGGAUUUUGAGGACAAUUAAAUAUAAACUAAAUACAAUCAACACAAAAUAAAAUAUGUCUCAGCAUGAAUGCACAAAAUCAUGUUACUAAGCUUAUGAUAAAUUUUAAAUUUCCACAAAAUUGUUUAUUUGCUAC
Molecule: long non-coding RNA, 544 nt
Filed under: Sorghum bicolor (sorghum)
Lineage: Eukaryota; Viridiplantae; Streptophyta; Magnoliopsida; Poales; Poaceae
Description: long non-coding RNA (SBIC_LNC002543)
Source: RNAcentral